This 492-nucleotide ribosomal RNA is filed under the name uncultured bacterium. Its description in RNAcentral is "partial 16S ribosomal RNA". It matches the Rfam family "Bacterial small subunit ribosomal RNA", at positions 29 to 507 of the family's 1533-position model. The record is from RNAcentral.
AGUGAACGCUGGCGGUAGGCCUAACACAUGCAAGUCGAACGGCAGCACAGUAAGAGCUUGCUCUUACGGUUGGCGACGGGCGGACGGGUGAGGAAUACAUCGGAAUCUACUUUUUCGUGGGGGAUAACGUAGGGAAACUUACGCUAAUACCGCAUACUACCUACGGGUGAAAUCAGAGGAUCUUCGGACCUUGCGCGAUUGAAUGAGCUGAUGUCGGAGUAGCUAGUUGGCGGGGUAAAGGCCCACCAAGGCGACGAUCCGUAGCUGGUCUGAGAGGAUGAUCAGCGACACUGGAACUGAGACAAGGUAGAGAAGACUACGAGAGGAAGCAGUAGGGAAUAUUGGACAAUGGGGGGAAGCAUGAUGCAGCGGUACCGCGUGGGUGAAGAAGGACUUCGGGUUGUAAAGACCCUUUGUUGGGAAAGAAAAGCAGAAGGUUAAUACCCAGUUGUUCUGACGGUAGUAAAAGAAUAAGCACCGGCUAACAUCGUG